UACGGGGGGAGCAAGCGUUGUUCGGAUUUACUGGGCGUAAAGGGCGCGUAGGCGGCCACCGCAAGUCGACUGUGAAAUCUCCGGGCUUAACCCGGAAAGGUCAGCCGAUACUGCGGGGCUAGAGUGCAGAAGGGGCAACUGGAAUUCUCGGUGUAGCGGUGAAAUGCGUAGAUAUCGAGAGGAACACCUGCGGCGAAGGCGGGUUGCUGGGCUGACACGUGACGCUGAGGCACGAAAGCGUGGGGAGCAAACAGG
Molecule: ribosomal RNA, 255 nt
Filed under: uncultured bacterium
Lineage: Bacteria
Description: partial 16S ribosomal RNA
Rfam family: Bacterial small subunit ribosomal RNA
Source: RNAcentral